AUAUAGUGGUGAUCGAAGCCGUGAAGGUACUAUGACAAAAAUGGAUGCCGCUCCAAGUUCGAUUAUUGUCUUGUUGGUUUUUGGAUUACUACUAUCCAAGUACCCUAGUUACAUGGUUAAGGCAGCUGAAGGGUUUUCCGACCUUUCUGUGAGUAGAUUUGAAGUGGUGUCAAACAAGGCCAAGCGGAUACCUCCACCACCGCCACCAAGGCGAUGGACUCGACCGGUACCGCGAACGGAACCGCUACCUCCAUCCCCACCGCCACCUCUCCCCUGAGCUAGUGAAGUUAGCAGCAUGAUGAAGGCGUGCAGCCAUAUAUGCAUGCAUGUGUGCUGUUUAGUAUACCCCUUAUUGGGCGUCGAGUUCUUCAAGUAGAUCAAUAAAAUCAUAGUUCAAACUCCUUCGAAUUCUGUAGUAGCAUCCAGUUUGCUAACUGUACAGUACUGUCAUUCGUAGUAUAUAUCCUACUAAUCCUAUUCUUUUAAUUUCCGGGAGUUCAAAGCUAGCAUAAGUAAAAUUUUCAGUCGUCAAUCUCCACCACCCGCACGAAAGGCAAUAAUAUUCAGUUCAUUUUAGGUGUUUUGAAGUCAAACAAAGAAAAGAAGAUAAUUGGGCUUAAUUAGGAUCCCUAAUCCUAGUUGGAUUGGUGAUGGACGUGAGAUAUAGGUUAACUAACCUAUUUAUACAAGGGAGCAGCCAAACAAGAGGAAAAACAAGAACCAGAGAGAGAAAAAGAGAAGAAA
RNA transcript from Fragaria vesca subsp. vesca, 744 nucleotides. RefSeq lists it as uncharacterized. NCBI's taxonomy places the organism in Eukaryota, Viridiplantae, Streptophyta, Magnoliopsida, Rosales, Rosaceae. The transcript is spliced from 2 exons. The record is from RefSeq and is a predicted model, not a curated record.